Molecule: ribosomal RNA, 253 nt
Filed under: uncultured bacterium
Lineage: Bacteria
Description: partial 16S ribosomal RNA
Rfam family: Bacterial small subunit ribosomal RNA
Source: RNAcentral
UACAGAGGUCUCAAGCGUUGUUCGGAUUCAUUGGGCGUAAAGGGUGCGUAGGCGGCGCGGUAAGUCGGGUGUGAAAUUUCGAGGCUUAACUUCGAAACUGCAUUCGAUACUGCCGUGCUUGAGGACUGGAGAGGAGACUGGAAUUUACGGUGUAGCGGUGAAAUGCGUAGAUAUCGUGAGGAAGACCAGUGGCGAAGGCGGGUCUCUGGACAGUUCCUGACGCUGAGGCACGAAGGCCAGGGGAGCAAACGGG